This 72-nucleotide transfer RNA is filed under the name Marmota marmota marmota (Alpine marmot). It matches the Rfam family "tRNA". Rfam says of the family: Transfer RNA (tRNA) molecules are approximately 80 nucleotides in length. Their secondary structure includes four short double-helical elements and three loops (D, anti-codon, and T loops). The record is from Rfam by way of RNAcentral. Lineage: Eukaryota; Metazoa; Chordata; Mammalia; Rodentia; Sciuridae. RNAcentral also lists the same sequence under 1 other name.
GGGGGUCUAAUUAAGUGGUAGAACAUGUAGUUAAUAUGUACAAUGACCUAAGUUCAAUCCCUAGCACCCCCA